This 253-nucleotide ribosomal RNA is filed under the name uncultured bacterium. Its description in RNAcentral is "partial 16S ribosomal RNA". It matches the Rfam family "Bacterial small subunit ribosomal RNA", at positions 524 to 776 of the family's 1533-position model. The record is from RNAcentral.
GACGUAGGGCGCGAGCGUUGUCCGGAUUUAUUGGGCGUAAAGAGCUCGUAGGCGGUUUGUCGCGUCGUCUGUGAAAACCCACGGCUCAACUGUGGGCUUGCAGUCGAUACGGGCAGGCUAGAGUUCGGUAGGGGAGUCUGGAAUUCCUGGUGUAGCGGUGAAAUGCGCAGAUAUCAGGAGGAACACCGGUGGCGAAGGCGGGACUCUGGGCCGAUACUGACGCUGAGGAGCGAAAGCGUGGGGAGCAAACAGG